Molecule: ribosomal RNA, 1440 nt
Filed under: metagenome
Description: bacterial SSU rRNA
Rfam family: Bacterial small subunit ribosomal RNA
Source: RNAcentral
GGCGGCGUGGCUAAAACAUGCAAGUCGAACGGACUAUCCUGAAGAGUAAUCAGAAGGAUAGUUAGUGGCGGAAGGGUUAGUAAUGGCUAGGAACGUACCCCGUGCUUCGGGAUAGCCAUUCGAAAGGAUGGGUAAUACCGAAUAAUGUCGAGAGACCAAAGAUUUAUCGGCAUGGGAGCGGCCUAGUUCCUAUCAGCUUGUUGGUGAGGUAAAAGCUCACCAAGGCAAUGACGGGUAGCGGGACUGAGAGGUUGGCCCGCAACAUCGGGACUGAGACACUGCCUGGACCUCCACGGAGGGCUGCAGUAACGAAUAUUGGGCAAUGGGCGAAAGCCUGACCCAGCGACGCCGCGUGCGGGAGGAAGUCCUUCGGGAUGUAAACCGCUUUUCGGAGUAAGAAAGUCUUCGGAUUGAUCUAGUCCGGAAUAAGUCACGGCUAACUUCGUGCCAGCAGCCGCGGUAAGACGAAGGUGGCAAGCGUUGUUCGGUAUUACUGGGCUUAAAGCGUGUGUAGGCGGAAAUGUAAGCGUUUUGUGAAAUCCCUCGGCUCAACCGAGGAAUUGCUUGACGAACUACAUUUCUUGAGGCAAGUAGGGGUGCGCGGAACUCUUGGUGGAGCGGUGGAAUGCGUAGAUAUCAAGAGGAACGCCGGAGGUGAAGACGGUGCACUGGGCUUGUCCUGACGCUGAGACACGAAAGCGUGGGGAGCAAACAGGAUUAGAUACCCUGGUAGUCCACGCUGUAAACGAUGCCUACUAGGUCGUGGUGGUUCUGACGCCGUCACAGCCGAAGCAAAAGUGUUAAGUAGGCCGCCUGGGGAGUACGGUCGCAAGGCUAAAACUCAAAGGAAUUGACGGGGGCUCACACAAGCGGUGGAGCAUGUGGAUUAAUUCGAAGCAACGCGCAGAACCUUACCUGGGUUUGACAUGCUUAGGAAUCUUCCCGAAAGGGAAGAGUGCCUUCGGGAGCCUUUGCACAGGUGCUGCAUGGCUGUCGUCAGCUCGUGUCGUGAGAUGUUGGGUUACUCCUUUAACGAGCGAAACCCUUACCGCUAGUUGCCAGCGAGUCAAGUCGGGGACUCUAGCGGGACUGCCGGUGUUAAACCGGAGGAAGGUGGGGAUGACGUCAAGUCCUCAUGGCCUUUAUGCCCAGGCUUCACACGUGCUACAAUGGUCGAUACAAAGCGACGCAAGACCGUGAGGUGGAGCAAAUCGCAAAAAGUCGGCCUCAGUUCGGAUUGCAGGCUGGCAACUCGCCUGCAUGAAGGUGGAAUCGCUAGUAAUCGCGUAUCAGCUAUGACGCGGUGAAUGUGUUCCUGAGCCUUGUACACACCGCCCGUCAAGUGAUGGGAGUUGGGAGUACCCGAAGUCGGGUUGCUAACCAUUAGGAAGCGCCUGCCGACGGUAAGCCCGAUGACUGGCACUAAGUCGUAACAAGGUA